This 253-nucleotide ribosomal RNA is filed under the name uncultured bacterium. RNAcentral's name for it is "partial 16S ribosomal RNA". It matches the Rfam family "Bacterial small subunit ribosomal RNA", at positions 524 to 776 of the family's 1533-position model. The record is from RNAcentral.
UACAGAGGGGGCAAGCGUUGUUCGGAAUUACUGGGCGUAAAGGGCGCGUAGGCGGCCUGCUAAGUCGAACGUGAAAUCCCCGAGCUCAACUCGGGAACUGCGUCCGAUACUGGCAGGCUUGAAUCCGGGAGAGGGAUGCGGAAUUCCAGGUGUAGCGGUGAAAUGCGUAGAUAUCUGGAGGAAUACCGGUGGCGAAGGCGGCAUCCUGGACCAUUACUGACGCUGAGGCGCGAAAGCUAGGGGAGCAAACGGG